Molecule: ribosomal RNA, 468 nt
Filed under: uncultured bacterium
Lineage: Bacteria
Description: partial 16S ribosomal RNA
Rfam family: Bacterial small subunit ribosomal RNA
Source: RNAcentral
GACGAACGCUGGCGGCGUGCUUAACACAUGCAAGUCGAACGGGAAGGCCCUGCUUUUGUGUGUUGCUCGAGUGGCGAACGGGUGAGUAACACGUGAGUAACCUGCCCUUGACUUUGGGAUAACUUCAGGAAACUGGGGCUAAUACCGGAUAGGAGCUCCUGCUGCCUGGUGGGGGUUGGAAAGUUUCGGCGGUUGGUGAUGGACUCGCGGCUUAUCAGCUUGUUGGUGGGGUAGUGGCUUACCACGGCUUUGACGGGUAGCCGGCCUGAGAGGGUGACCGGCCACAUUGGGACGGAGAUACGGCACAGACUCCUACGGGAGGCAGCAGUGGGGAAUAUUGCACAAUGGGCGGAAGGAUGAUGCAGUAAAGCGGCGCGCGGGAGGACGGCAUUCGGGUUGUAAACCGCUUUCGCCUGGGACGAAGAGUGAGUGACGGUAAUGGGUAAAGAAGCACCGGCUAACUACGUG